Long non-coding RNA from Bombus impatiens (common eastern bumble bee), 1442 nucleotides. RefSeq lists it as uncharacterized. NCBI's taxonomy places the organism in Eukaryota, Metazoa, Arthropoda, Insecta, Hymenoptera, Apidae. The record is from RefSeq and is a predicted model, not a curated record. The transcript has 2 exons.
UCUCAGGAUCAUGAUUUUGGCCAACUUUUUCCUAUACAUAUAACUACUGCUCGGCUUUAGUUUUCGAGAUAAGGAUUGUUAUAUGCUCUUUGACGUGAGUUAGAUAUGGCUUAGGUUUAGGUUAGAUUUAUCUAUGGACUCCCAUUGGAGUAAUUAAACAUAUAGGUACAAUGCCAUCGGUUCCAAUAUUCAAGGAUAUUGAUUAACAAAUGAUAUCGGUCGGAUUUUUUCUUCCAAUACAUUUACCUAAGAUAGGUUUACCCAAAUUUUUUGGAUACUUCAUUUGAUGACAGUUUCAAAAGGAAGAUGGAAGCAUGAGAACUUGUUUGUAGGAAAGAGUUGAGUUGUUAUUUGAAAUACAUAAACUCAAAAUUUUUGCUUUAUUUUGUGCCGGGUGAGAAUAUCUCUGUAGUUGUGAAAUACAAAGAGGCAGUUUCUUUUAUUACCUAGAACCCAGAGGAGCCAAUCAAAUGGAAAAUAAGAAAUAAAAAUAAUAAUAGGCACUGAAACAGGACACAUUUGCAGUAUUGUGGUACUUUGAUAAUAGUCUUUUGUCAACAGAACAAUUGAUAAGAAUUGAUCUUCCAGUGUCAACUAAAAUUUCUUUACUCUUGUAUAAAACGCUAUUGGAUAAAGCCCCAGUUUCUCAAGGACACCGUAUGUUCAUUGACUAUUAUACAAGCUGUUCUUUGGUCAAAAAAUUAUACAAGAUGAUGUGUUAUCUAACCAAACAAAUUCAAAGAAAAUAUGCAAACAAAUAGAAAAAGAUUGCCAUAAAAGAUAAAAUAGAAUGAAACAUAUAUAGUAGCAUGUUAACAUUCAGCCAACCGCGCGCGCCAUAGCGAGCUAUUUCCCUCGGAUAAGCUAACCUAUACGUUGUCCACCGCGCAUUUUUGCAAAUAUCAAGGACUGAUAUUCACUAGUUAAAAAACAAAGAGGUGUAAAAAUUAUUUAAGUGGUUAAUUAUAUUUUGCGGCAAACGAUAACUAAUAAUAACAAUAACAAAAGAGAAAACGCAUUGCUAAAGUCAAAAAGGGAGAUCUUCCCAUUGGGUCACCCAGCGAUGUUCUUCACAGAGGGGAGAUCUCCUCAUUCGGUUGGCUAAGUGUUAAGGAAAUAAUACUUUGAUCCUGGUUUUGGAAAAUAAGCAGAUUACAGUAAUGUUGGCAAAUUGGGACAAUGGUGGAACUAGUUCUGUCAAAAGGAUACUAUGGAAUGAUACUAAAAUUAUUGUAGAAAAAUCUAAUAUUCUAUAUUACAUAAAAUUUAUGGAUGGUGUUGAUUAAGCAGACCAAUGCAGUUUAACAUAUUCCUUUAUGAGAAAAACUCUUGAGUGGUGGUAUAAGUUAUUUUUUGAAAGAUUAGAAAUAUCUAUUAUCCUGUAUAGAAAUUCAUACAUAUUAUAUAAUUUGUAAAAAAGCAAAGAAACGAAUGUCCACUUA